This is a long non-coding RNA of Xiphophorus couchianus (Monterrey platyfish), 1118 nucleotides long. RefSeq lists it as uncharacterized. NCBI's taxonomy places the organism in Eukaryota, Metazoa, Chordata, Actinopteri, Cyprinodontiformes, Poeciliidae. The transcript has 3 exons. The record is from RefSeq and is a predicted model, not a curated record.
CCGGACCACACAGAUUGUUGAAAAUAAAAACAAACUGAUAAGAAGAAAGUUUUCUGGUUAUUACAGUGUAGCUCCAUCCACUAAACUGGAGCCAUUUUAUUGGGCUAUUUGAGAGAGGAUAAAUAUUUUUUUUAGAUUUGUUUUAUGUUCUACUAAUUUUAAUUUUUUUGAAAUGAACAUAGUUUAGUUUUUACAGUGAACUGAAGUUGGAUUUUGAAUUUACUGUUAGUUGUAAGGUUAUUAAGAAAAUCUAUAUUUGGAAUUAAAAUUAUAUUUUUCAUAUUUACAACACAAUAAUGUAUUUAAUACAAUGACAGUGGCAUGGUGACAUAUUCCUUAUUUUGGACAUUUUAUUUAGAAUCUCUGAGCCACAGAUUGGGCGCCACUCAUAGGUUGUUCAGACAGGAAGAGAAUGUGGCUUUUCUAUUCAGCCGUGUUCCAUUAUCAGGCUGUAUUUUACCCCGGGAGAUAUAGGCCUCCUGGACCACGCCUCCUAAAAAAAGAACAUUUUGUUCACAGAACUACACAGGUUUGCAUUGCAGACCACGUGUCACAUUAAGUAACAAGCUCUGAGGUCAACUUACUCAACUUCUUGCACAUUUUUUAAGGCGGUGUAAUGUGUUGCUACAUGCUGGCCCACAGUGUGAAAUCAGUUCGAAGCUGGGUCGGAUUUAAUUUGGAUUUUCUGAUCGGAUUUUUAGUGGUCAGGUUUUACUCUUCGGAUUGGAUCAGAAACCUCCCCCGGAUCCCUUCACCCCGUCUUUCAGUCGACUUUUCAAAGCAUAAUUUGAGUGUGCAGGCUUGAAGAAGUCACCGCGUGGGUGGGAAAAAUGGGUGAUUGGCUGUGAUUGCAACAUCAUCCUCAGCUGCAGAGGUAGGUGUGAAGAGUGCUGAUCUCAGAUCACCUGCAAUCUAAUAUAAAACAGACACAAUGAUGCAGAUAUGAACUAUAUUUUAUUUGCAGAUGCAUCCUUUGCUACAAAUGAUCAAGCGUUAUUGCAUUUUAGGCAAGAUAUUUAUUUAGCAUUUACAAAAAGAUUAUCAAAUUGUUUAUUUGCAUUUCCUUUCUCAUGUUGUAUAUAAUAAUUGUAAGUAGUUAAAUAAAACAUUUGCAGAAA